This 5313-nucleotide long non-coding RNA is filed under the name Manduca sexta (tobacco hornworm). RNAcentral's name for it is "uncharacterized LOC119190054". Lineage: Eukaryota; Metazoa; Arthropoda; Insecta; Lepidoptera; Sphingidae. The record is from RNAcentral.
CCACUAGCCGAACGGCAAGCUCGUUUCGUCAUUCGAAGCAAUUAAAAAAUAUAUAAGUAUAUAGGUACGAUGUUGGGCGUUUUGUACCAUGCAUAGUUCUGGUUUUCGCAUGGUUGACAAGUGAUCCGCGACAGGACUUCUGGAAAAAGACCUAAUGCUAAUUAUCGAAUUUUACAUAAAACUGGCUGUUAACAAAUUCAUUUGCUACGUAUUAAACUCAUCAUCAUCAUCAGCCCCAGAAAGUCUACUCCUGAACACAACCUCCCUAAAGAUUUCCAGACGGACCUGUCGAAAGCGGCUUGCAUCCACCGUGUUCCUGCAACCUGCGUACUAAACUCAUUGAUUCUUAAAUAAAUUUGAAUCACAUUUCCAGAUACAGUAACAUGGGUAAAAAACACAUCGGAAAGACGAAUGGCGUUAAUCAAUAACUUCACGUUCACAUUAAACACAACAUCAGGCAAUAGCGUAUCUCUCUGGAGAUGUACGAAAACCUCCCCUCGUUGUAAGGCCCGGUUUACUUUGGUUGACGGGAAGACGAUGGUCAAAGCCCUGUUGGAACACAACCACGCACCGCGAGAAUUCUGUAGCCAUGACGGAUGUGACCAGAUUCGCCGUAGUGUCAAACGGAGGCUUCGGGCACUGGCCUGAAAGAAUCCCACCAGCACCAGGAUCAAAGAAAAAAUCUAGCUACAGGAAAUGCAAGGUGUGCUCUACAAGAAAUUUGCGAAGAGAAACAGGCCUCAGAUGUAAAGGCUGUAAAGGUCAUCCGUCGUUAUGUGCACUGUGUUUUGAAACGUGGCAUGAACGGUUUUGGAAUUUGCGCAUGAACUUACUCCGCUCUUGAAGAGUAGGAGAUGACUGUUGAGUUCGCUAUAGGUUAUGAAGGUUAGGCAAAGCUAAAAUUCACGGUUCGCCGUGUUAAUUCCGUCCGAUAUGAUGCGUGGCUUACUGUUAUGAAUAAAUAUUUUAUUUUGUUACAUUUCUCUUUUUUUUACACACACGCGCUUUUUUAUUCCUGAAGAGGUAGGCAGAGGCGUAACUUGAGGCAUCCAUAACGAAAGAUCACCUACAAAGUUAUGCUUAGGUGAGUACUAUUUAUGACUGCUGGGUAUACCUUGAACAAUAAUAUGUAUACAUGUACUGUCUUCUUUAUUCCAGUUAGAUGAGUGGGAAGUAGCUUAGGAAAGCCGAUAGCGAUUAUUGGCGACUUCAACUACUACAGAGAGUUUAGUUCAAGCAACAGUAUUACUUGGCAAUGUUCCAAAACAUGUCUGAAAUGUAAAGCCCGUCUUACAAUAUACAACGAGAUUAUAGUUAAAGCUCAACUAACGCAUAACCAUGAGCCGUCCGACUUUUCCAUAAAAGAGGGGAUUUACUAUAAAAAAAUAAAGUGCUCAUUACACUGUAGUACGAAAAAGGUUUUUAUUUUGAGUUCAUUGUAAGCAAUAAAAGCGACGGUAUUUUAAUAGACCACGAUGAUUGGCAAGUCAAGGUAAGUAAAGCCAAAAUUAUUUAUCGAAUUUGUGUAAUAUUUUUUAUACUAUAACACUUAUAAGCUCGUUGGUUGUAUAGUACAUCAGUUGAGCCACUAGACCUCUAGGAAGGUACAUUAAAAUCAAGUGUAUCUAGCUAAAAUAUUUUUUUAGUAUAUUCUUACUCCGUCUAUUGGUUUUUUCUUUGCCUAUAAUUUUAUUAGUCAAAGUCAUUCAUCUUUCAGGACCUAUAACCUGGUUGAAGAACAGCACAGGCAGGACUGUAGCCUUGAUCAACCGCUUCACAUACUACCAGGAUAAGGUACGGGGUACGAAUCUGGAGAGAAGUGUGUGGAGAUGUACCAGGUCUUCCCAGUGCAGAGCCAGGUUCACUGUAGUCGAUGGGAAGACUAUAAUACGAGCACAGUUAAGUCAUAACCAUGAUGCAGCUCGUUAUGUGAUAAGGGACGGGUUUUAUAUAAAAUUGUAAGGAUUUGGUGACAGAUUCAGUGACAAGAGCAUUGACAGUUUCCUUCGCAAUGAAAUACGAACCUUAAGGGUAUUUAAAUAAGAUACUUCUUAUAAAUGUGAAAGUUUGUGAUAAUCUUUAGAUGUUUGUAAAAGGAAACAGCAGGAUUUGAAUGAAAUUUGUCACAGUAAAAGACCCUGUGCUGGACUAUCGCAUAGGCUACUUAUUAUCCUGGUAAUUUUCUCCCAUGGCAAAUGUUUUUUUUUUAUUAAAUAGAUGGCGCUAGCGUUGUACUGGUGUCGCCAUAAAUCGCUUGAGAGUGUGAAGGUCUUAAUAGCAGGAAAGGUUUUUCACGCGACCAAAGCCGCGAGCAACACCUAGUUUCAAAUAAUUUCGAAUAAAGAAGUAAUUUUAAGAGUUAAACUUAAAUAACUUAAAAGAAUACUUUACCGUCAUUUGCUCUCUGGUUGAUCGUAGGAACAUAAGUAAUGGCUAUGAUUACAAUGUAAAUUCUAUUGUAAAAAUGAGCUAUGAAAGUGCUUUUUCUUACUAUUUAUUAUACUAAGAUUAAAAUCACCAUCCCUGUACGAAUGGUUAUUCGGCUGUGAAUAAAAACGGUGACUUGGAAUAUGAUUCCUGAGACGGAAGUCCAGUAGAAAAUAAGUUCGCUUUUUGGACCAAAUUCUUGUUAAUAUUCGGGUAAAUAAUUUUAGCAACUCCAAAGACAUUAGGACAUAUUUUUAAUAUUGAGUUAUGAGUAAACACUGUUAAUAAUUUGACUAUAGUAAUGUAGUUGAUCUAGUAAUGGUUUACGUUAUUUUUUGAGUGAUGGAGAGAUGGAAUUCAUAAUAUUAAUAAUAUAAGCUGAUUAAAGCAAUGUCAUUCUGUGAUGCGGUAUGUAGGUGUAAAAAAUAUUUUUACACUUUCUUGUGGAUUUAAGUUCUUAUGUCUUAGUACGAAACUUAAAUAUAUAUUUACGUAAAAGACAAAUAGAUUUGCGAGUAUAUGUUUGCGUAAGGACUCAAAAAUAAUUCAAUGCUACUAAAUAAAUUAUUUAAUUUAAAUGUACCCAUUUGGGUGUAGAAGAAGCCAAUGCUAUGAGUGCAUGUGAUUUAUUUUUGUUCAACGUUAUUAUAUAAAAAUAAAAGUUUAGAAAAUAUCCUAAUAUUGUUUUUUUUAUAUUCUUAAUUUGAUAUGUUUAAGAACUAUCUAGCAGUUUAUUAACAGUAAUAAAAUAAUUUUGCUUUUAUUCCACUUUAUAUUUCGUUUUCAAAUUAUUAUUUUAAUAUAACUUUUUUGGUAUCCUUAUUGUCUAAAACGAUGUCCAAAUAUUUUAAUAGUAAAUUUUUUUUAUUACUAUUUUUACAUAUUAUAUAUAUGUUUUAUUAGCCUACCAGACCUGCUGCUGGGUCCCCAGUUUCCUCAAUUUUUAAUUUACUUUGCGAAAUUUAUGCCAUGGCUAUGAUCAGUGCACGUGGGUCUAAUACGACCAUGCGUGGCAUAACAUUACUUCUCUUAUCAUUACUAAACAACCCACCAUUUAAACAAUAAUAAGCCUUAAUAACGUUGUGUUUUAUUUCAGUGCGAAUGUUAAAGAACCAGAACGGGAAAACAAUGGCGUUGUUGAAUCACUUCACGUUCUUCUGUGAGAAGAUAUCCAGCGCGACUACAACGUGGAGGUGUUCCAAGUCCUCCUCUUUUUGCAAGGCUCGCUUUACCAUCGCAUCUGACUUGACCAUGCUGCGAGCAAGGCUGGAUCACAACCAUCCCUCAUCCAGAUAUAUUAUACGGAAUGGUUCUUAUAUAAAACUUUAAUUAAAGACCAAUGUCUGACGAAUGGUAGCCGACGUCAGAACAAUGAUUAUAUAGGACUCUUAGCUUUGAGACAAGGGAAUAAGGAUUAAUUUGAGAUUGUGACACGCGAUGAUCUUACUAAUGCUAUGGAACAACGAAUUUGGUUUUUCACUGUAACUUUCAGUGGGUAACAUUAGUUCGUUUAAAUGCUGUAGAAAUAGCUUUUAAAUAGGGCUAAGUAUUUGUGUAUAUAUUAACUCAUCUAGUCAUGUUAAUAACGUAGGGUUUUGAAAUGAAACGGGGACAGGACGGGGAUUCCCCCCCUCCCCCAUGACCAUGAAGGCUGCAAAGUCUUCGAAACGUCGGAAGAAAAAAUAAAAUACUAAAAACCGCGAUGGAAUCUGAAAAUUAGUUUAAUUUCGACGUAGGGUUACUGGUAAUUUGGGUUAUGGAGUUUUCUCGAAGCUUUCAGAUCUAUCGUACCCCGAUGCAUCAUUAUAAAAGACAAACGCCUUAUUUUCAAGAAAUCGAUUAUAAAGUUAUUGUUUUAAUAAAGUUCAAUGUUCUUUUUAAAAAUACUAUGAUAUAUUGACGUCGAUAUUGUUUGUUAUAAUAUAAGUUUGAUUGAAAUAAAAAUGUAAUAGGUAAACUUUAAUUUUUUUAUGCAUUCUACAUUUAUGGAUUUUUGCAAUGAUUAUGGUAUAAAUUGACUAUUUUAAUUGGCAUUUAGAACAGGGGUCUGGAGUCUUAGUGACUUAUAUAAUAAUUACAUAAAUUGUGACGUUAAAAUUAUUUAUAUUACUUGAAUUAAAUUUUUGUAAAUGCUUAAAUGAUUUGUUCUUUACAUCUCUCGCUACGUAACUUUUUAAAUACUUGCUUUGUAUAUGGUCAAUGAAGAAUAGAAGAUGUAAUUAUUCAAUGUUUUACGACACUGGUAAUAUCAGGAAAGCGGGUUAUCCACAUUUAUUCAAAAUUCUUAGGUUAUUGUGUAACAGAACAUAGGUAAUCAGUAAGUAGGCUACACGAAGGUAAAUUGUACAACACCACAAAAGAAACAAAUUGAGGCACUGUGUAAUGCCCAGAAGGCAUUGGAUGAAAAAAGUAUUUCUUGAUCAUUACUAAAUUCGUAAACUUUUCACACUACCCUCAAAAAGAAUACUACAAAUCUUAACUUUUUCAGUGCAAUGGAUUAAAAACCAAAGAGGAACAACAAUCGCCUUGCUUGGGAACUACACGUACUACAAAGUGUCCAAUAACGAGGUCACGUCCAUCUACCGCUGCACGAAGAACCUGAUCAAUUGCAGGGCCAGGCUUCACAUACAGAACGAAGGGUCGGUGGUGGUAAAAGGAAAUUUGCUUCACAAUCAUCCACCAGAAUAUUUUACGGUCAACAACGGAAUGUAUAUCAAGCUGCGUUUAUAGUACAUUAGUUUAGUAAAUGUUUAUACUAAAUUGGUUUUUAUUUAUAAAGGAUAUUGUGGCGUUUUUAGUAUAUUAGUUUAGAAAAUUUUGAUCCUUUUGUUUUUAUUUAUAAAGGAUAUUGUGGCGUUUUUAGUAUAUUAGUUUAGAAAAUUUUGA